RNAcentral lists this ribosomal RNA (425 nucleotides) under uncultured bacterium. RNAcentral's name for it is "partial 16S ribosomal RNA". It matches the Rfam family "Bacterial small subunit ribosomal RNA", at positions 354 to 796 of the family's 1533-position model. The record is from RNAcentral.
GUGGGGAAUCUUAGACAAUGGGCGCAAGCCUGAUCCAGCCAUGCCGCGUGAGUGAUGAAGGCCUUAGGGUUGUAAAGCUCUUUCAGUGAGGACGAUAAUGACGGUACCCACAGAAGAAGCCCCGGCUAACUUCGUGCCAGCAGCCGCGGUAAUACGAAGGGGGCUAGCGUUGUUCGGAUUUACUGGGCGUAAAGCGCACGUAGGCGGAUCGUUAAGUCGGGGGUGAAAUCCUGGAGCUCAACUCCAGAACUGCCUUCGAUACUGGCGAUCUGGAGUCCGGAAGAGGUGAGUGGAACUCCUAGUGUAGAGGUGGAAUUCGUAGAUAUUAGGAAGAACACCAGUGGCGAAGGCGGCUCACUGGUCCGGUACUGACGCUGAGGUGCGAAAGCGUGGGGAGCAAACAGGAUUAGAAACCCCAGUAGUCC